AGCGAACGCUGGCGGCAGGCUUAACACAUGCAAGUCGAGCGGGCACUUUCGGGUGUCAGCGGCGGACGGGUGAGUAACGCGUGGGAACGUGCCCUCUGGUUCGGAAUAACUCAGGGAAACUUGAGCUAAUACCGGAUACGCCCUUUUGGGGAAAGGCUUGCUGCCGGAGGAUCGGCCCGCGUCUGAUUAGCUAGUUGGUGAGGUAACGGCUCACCAAGGCGACGAUCAGUAGCUGGUCUGAGAGGAUGAUCAGCCACACUGGGACUGAGACACGGCCCAGACUCCUACGGGAGGCAGCAGUGGGGAAUAUUGGACAAUGGGCGCAAGCCUGAUCCAGCCAUGCCGCGUGAGUGAUGAAGGCCUUAGGGUUGUAAAGCCCUUUUAUCCGGGACGAUAAUGACGGUACCGGAGGAAUAAGCCCCGGCUAACUUCGUG
Molecule: ribosomal RNA, 435 nt
Filed under: uncultured bacterium
Lineage: Bacteria
Description: partial 16S ribosomal RNA
Rfam family: Bacterial small subunit ribosomal RNA
Source: RNAcentral